Molecule: transfer RNA, 73 nt
Filed under: Acanthaster planci (crown-of-thorns starfish)
Lineage: Eukaryota; Metazoa; Echinodermata; Asteroidea; Valvatida; Acanthasteridae
Description: tRNA-Phe
Rfam family: tRNA
About the family: Transfer RNA (tRNA) molecules are approximately 80 nucleotides in length. Their secondary structure includes four short double-helical elements and three loops (D, anti-codon, and T loops).
Source: Rfam by way of RNAcentral
GCCGAAAUAGCUCAGUUGGGAGAGCGUCAGACUGAAGAUCUGAAGGUCCCUGGUUCAAUCCCGAGUUCCGGCA